This 556-nucleotide long non-coding RNA is filed under the name Homo sapiens (human). RNAcentral describes it as "non-protein coding lnc-RBM12B-10:5". Lineage: Eukaryota; Metazoa; Chordata; Mammalia; Primates; Hominidae. The record is from RNAcentral.
AGAACCGUGGACAGCAACAUUUCCCACAGGACACGAAGUUUGUCGGCCCUUGCCUUGGCAGAGCUGAGUAAGAAAAAUCACCAAGAAUAUUAUUUUUGGUAUUUGGAAUUGAAUUUGCCAGGAAUGCAAGCACUGCUACCUAACUAAAGACCUUGGCUUUGGAAACAUCUUACCCCUUGGCAGCUCUCCAGAGUUUAGACUUGGCAGCAUCAAAGACACAACGCAAGGUAAACAGGAUUAUAAAAAAACUAAACCUAUUUUACGAGCAACCAAAUUAAAAGCAGAAGCAAAGAAAACAGCAAUAGGCAUAAAGACUCACCACGGAUGUUGACCCUGAUCUGGACCAAGAUGAAGAUUAGCUAAGCAACAAUCAAUGCAUGAAAGAGAAAUAACUUUACGAAAGCACCUUUUGGGACCAAAACUUUCAAUACUGAAACUGUAACAUCUUUAAUUCUUUCUGCUAAUAUUUUCAGUUUGCAGACAUAUGAUUUUUGAUAGUUGCAUAGGAUGUCAGGAAAAGAACCUUACCUAGCAAUGCAGUAUAGUAUGUGCUACU